AGGGAAUCUUCCGCAAUGGGCGAAAGCCUGACGGAGCAACGCCGCGUGAGUGGUGAAGGUCUUCGGAUCGUAAAACUCUGUUAUUAGGGAAGAACAUAUGUGUAAGUAACUGUGCACAUCUUGACGGUACCUAAUCAGAAAGCCACGGCUAACUACGUGCCAGCAGCCGCGGUAAUACGUAGGUGGCAAGCGUUAUCCGGAAUUAUUGGGCGUAAAGCGCGCGUAGGCGGUUUUUUAAGUCUGAUGUGAAAGCCCACGGCUCAACCGUGGAGGGUCAUUGGAAACUGGAAAACUUGAGUGCAGAAGAGGAAAGUGGAAUUCCAUGUGUAGCGGUGAAAUGCGCAGAGAUAUGGAGGAACACCAGUGGCGAAGGCGACUUUCUGGUCUGUAACUGACGCUGAUGUGCGAAAGCGUGGGGAUCAAACAGGAUUAGAUACCCUGGUAGUCCACGCCGUAAACGAUGAGUGCUAAGUGUUAGGGGGUUUCCGCCCCUUAGUGCUGCAGCUAACGCAUUAAGCACUCCGCCUGGGGAGUACGACCGCAAGGUUG
Molecule: ribosomal RNA, 549 nt
Filed under: uncultured bacterium
Lineage: Bacteria
Description: bacterial SSU rRNA
Rfam family: Bacterial small subunit ribosomal RNA
Source: RNAcentral